This 820-nucleotide ribosomal RNA is filed under the name Pholiota spumosa. RNAcentral's name for it is "partial large subunit ribosomal RNA". The record is from RNAcentral. Lineage: Eukaryota; Fungi; Basidiomycota; Agaricomycetes; Agaricales; Strophariaceae.
CAUAUCAAUAAGCGGAGGAAAAGAAACUAACAAGGAUUCCCCUAGUAACUGCGAGUGAAGCGCGAAAAGCUCAAAUUUAAAAUCUGGCGACCUUUGRCCGUCCGAGUUGUAAUCUAGAGAAGUGUUAUCCGCGCUGGACCGUGUACAAGUCUCCUGGAAUGGAGCGUCAUAGAGGGUGAGAAUCCCGUCUUUGACACGGACUGCCAGGGCUUUGUGAUGCGCUCUCAAAGAGUCGAGUUGUUUGGGAAUGCAGCUCAAAAUGGGUGGUAAAUUCCAUCUAAAGCUAAAUAUUGGCGAGAGACCGAUAGCGAACAAGUACCGUGAGGGAAAGAUGAAAAGAACUUUGGAAAGAGAGUUAAACAGUACGUGAAAUUGCUGAAAGGGAAACGCUUGAAGUCAGUCGCGUUGUCUGGGAAUCAACCUUGCUUUUGCUGGGCGUACUUUCCAGAUGACGGGCCAGCAUCAAUUUUGACCGUUGGAUAAAGAUUGGAGGAAUGUGGCAUCUUCGGAUGUGUUAUAACCUUCAGUUGCAUACAACGGUUGGGAUUGAGGAACUCAGCACGCCGCAAGGCCGGGUACUCGUACCACGUUCGUGCUUAGGAUGCUGGCAUAAUGGCUUUAAUCGACCCGUCUUGAAACACGGACCAAGGAGUCUAACAUGCCUGCGAGUAUUUGGGUGGAAAACCCGAGUGCGUAAUGAAAGUGAAAGUUGAGAUCCCUGUCGCGGGGAGCAUCGACGCCCGGACCAGACCUUUUGUGACGGAUCUGCGGUAAAGCAUGUAUGUUGGGACCCGAAAGAUGGUGAACUAUGCCUGAAUAG